GGCAUUUUAUAUCAGAAUGAAGUCUGAGCUGAAUGUGAAUUUGCUUAGGAUUGUGGAUGACCUGAGACCACCAGCACAAACUCCCCAGGGUUGAAGGUCACGUUCACCCUUCACAGCAUCUCCACGUAUACUCAUGAUCGACUCACCUGUAGAGGAUCACACAUGACCAGCAUCAUCUGGAUAUAUCUGGAGAGAGAGAAAGAGAGAUAGUCAAGGUCAAAAUGAACGUCUCCCCCACACCGAGAGAGAGAGAGAGAGAGAGAGAGAGAGAGAGCGCAAGCUGACAGCUGCAGUGAAGCAGACACACACAUGUACACACUCUUCAUCAUUUCAAUUUAUGCUUGUUGGAGACAAAAUGUUUUAAACUCACAUUCUUUUUUUGCCAGGCCUGAGUGUUGACACAUCAACAUGUGUGGUAUCUUAACACAACUAACGCAGGGAUAUCUAUCAGGCCAAGACAUCUCUAUCCUCAUCCCUGACUCAAACUGCAACAAUAUGCCACGUGUUUGUCUGUGGUCUCCAUGCUGUAUGUGUUUGUGAAUACUUCAAAGUUCUCAGUAAAACCAUCACAGUGUAAAUGGAACGGAUCAGUAGAGAGGCUGUUGUGUAUCCUGUUAAAUGGCAUAAACCUGUCUGGCUGGCACAAGCUGAACGCUGACCCCUUAUUCUUGCACGACCACACACCUCGACCUCCGGUGACCAGAUGUACAUGUGCUGGACAGAGCAUGUGGUUUGUAAAUUUAUUCCUCAAGGUGGCGGUUGAGUAAUGGUUAAAGAUCUAAGAUGCUAGAAGUUUAUCCCAAUAGGAUCUGACCCAGGAGCAAACGGCCUUGAGUGAAUCUCUGAACCUCAGCCAGCUGAGCCCAACACAUCUACAUCAACCGUCUACAGACCCUGACCCAAAACCACUUCAAAUGUGGCACCUUUUAUUACAAAUCAUUACAUCAAGCGAAUCCAGUUUAAUGACGCCAGCCUUGAAAGCGAGCGCUUCCGGAGAGGCCAUGGAAAAAUGAAACGCUCUCGUCUCACUUCCACAGUUCUCUGCUUGCUCUGCACAAAUAUAGGAGAAUGUUAAUGCCCCCAUUUGAAGUUUUCUGUCUCUAAACUGCAGUUUCCUGUCGGAGAAGGACACAGCUGCUUCUCUAUCCAAACAGAAAAGCCUCUCCCAUUUAACGAAGAAUGUGAUGUGUCUAUGGAAAGAAGGUUGUUUGUCAAGGGAUGUCAAGGGAGAGGAGGAAAAAGAGAAGCCAGAUAAGAGCCAUUCAUAAUCCACCUGACAUUCAGAGAUCAUUUCCCUGCUAUGUUCCCAACGCCCGUCACCUCCAACAUCCACUUUCCUAUUGUGCAAUGAUGUGUCUCCACUAGAGGGCGCCACCGGGAUCUCUGCCAUCACUCGUGCCACGAACAGAUGUCCUGUUGUCUCCUGAUUCCUUCUGAGGUUCAGACUGUUGAUCAUCUGACCUGAUGGGGGCGCUAGACAAAGUGACAGAUUCAGGUGUUCCUGUGGGAACAGCAGCUGUUCUUCUCAUCGUCUCACCUGCAGACGUCUCUGAUCUUCCCGCUGCAGGAGGAGAGUGAAUGUGGUUUGGCUGUACCAGUGUGUACCCAAGGAUGGGGACGAGAUGUUCAGUGAAUACAGCAGAUCUUCUGAUGAUUUGAGAAAG
Paramisgurnus dabryanus is the source of this 1664-nucleotide long non-coding RNA. RefSeq lists it as uncharacterized. The record is from RefSeq and is a predicted model, not a curated record. Lineage: Eukaryota; Metazoa; Chordata; Actinopteri; Cypriniformes; Cobitidae.